RNAcentral lists this small RNA (1247 nucleotides) under Debaryomyces vindobonensis. RNAcentral's name for it is "eukaryotic LSU rRNA". The stretch from base 597 to 1247 matches the Rfam family "Eukaryotic large subunit ribosomal RNA", at positions 1 to 667 of the family's 3401-position model. The record is from RNAcentral. Lineage: Eukaryota; Fungi; Ascomycota; Pichiomycetes; Serinales; Debaryomycetaceae.
AGUCGUAACAAGGUUCCGUAGGUGAACCUGCGGAAGGAUCAUUACAGUAUUCUUUUUGCCAGCGCUUAAUUGCGCGGCGAAAAAACCUUACACACAGUGUUUUUUGUUAUUACAAGAACUUUUGCUUUGGUCUGGACUAGAAAUAGUUUGGGCCAGAGGUUUACUGAACUAAACUUCAAUAUUUAUAUUGAAUUGUUAUUUAUUUAUUUGUCAAUUUGUUGAUUAAAUUCAAAAAAUCUUCAAAACUUUCAACAACGGAUCUCUUGGUUCUCGCAUCGAUGAAGAACGCAGCGAAAUGCGAUAAGUAAUAUGAAUUGCAGAUUUUCGUGAAUCAUCGAAUCUUUGAACGCACAUUGCGCCCUCUGGUAUUCCAGAGGGCAUGCCUGUUUGAGCGUCAUUUCUCUCUCAAACCUUCGGGUUUGGUAUUGAGUGAUACUCUUAGUCGAACUAGGCGUUUGCUUGAAAUGUAUUGGCAUGAGUGGUACUGGAUAGUGCUAUAUGACUUUCAAUGUAUUAGGUUUAUCCAACUCGUUGAAUAGUUUAAUGGUAUAUUUCUCGGUAUUCUAGGCUCGGCCUUACAAUAUAACAAACAAGUUUGACCUCAAAUCAGGUAGGAUUACCCGCUGAACUUAAGCAUAUCAAUAAGCGGAGGAAAAGAAACCAACAGGGAUUGCCUUAGUAACGGCGAGUGAAGCGGCAAAAGCUCAAAUUUGAAAUCUGGCACCUUCGGUGUCCGAGUUGUAAUUUGAAGAAGGUAACUUUGGAGUUGGCUCUUGUCUAUGUUCCUUGGAACAGGACGUCACAGAGGGUGAGAAUCCCGUGCGAUGAGAUGCCCAAUUCUAUGUAAAGUGCUUUCGAAGAGUCGAGUUGUUUGGGAAUGCAGCUCUAAGUGGGUGGUAAAUUCCAUCUAAAGCUAAAUAUUGGCGAGAGACCGAUAGCGAACAAGUACAGUGAUGGAAAGAUGAAAAGAACUUUGAAAAGAGAGUGAAAAAGUACGUGAAAUUGUUGAAAGGGAAGGGCUUGAGAUCAGACUUGGUAUUUUGCGAUCCUUUCCUUCUUGGUUGGGUUCCUCGCAGCUUACUGGGCCAGCAUCGGUUUGGAUGGUAGGAUAAUGACUAAGGAAUGUGGCUCUACUUCGGUGGAGUGUUAUAGCCUUGGUUGAUACUGCCUGUCUAGACCGAGGACUGCGUCUUUUGACUAGGAUGUUGGCAUAAUGAUCUUAAGCCACCCGUCUUGAAACACGGACC